GAUGAAGAACGCAGCGAAAUGUGAUACUUGGUGUGAAUUGCAGAAUCCCGUGAACCAUCGAGUCUUUGAACGCAAGUUGCGCCCGAAGCCAUUAGGCCGAGGGCACGCCUGCCUGGGCGUCACACGUCGUUGCCCCCCCAUCUACUCCUUCGGGAUUGCGGGGGGCGGAUGAUGGCCUCCCGUGCGCCUCGCCGCGCGGUUGGCAUAAAUGCCAAGUCCUCGGCGACGCACGCCACGACAAUCGGUGGUUGCGAAACCUCGGUUGCCCGUCGUGUGCGGUCGUCGCGCAUCGAGGGCUCGAAAAAAUUGCCGGGUUCCGGCUCGGCUUUCAACGCAACCCCAGGUCAGGCGGGGUUACCCGCUGAAUUUAAGCAUAUCAAUAAGCGGAGGA
RNAcentral lists this unclassified non-coding RNA (391 nucleotides) under soil metagenome. RNAcentral describes it as "partial contains 5.8S ribosomal RNA, internal transcribed spacer 2, and large subunit ribosomal RNA". The stretch from base 1 to 122 matches the Rfam family "5.8S ribosomal RNA", at positions 35 to 154 of the family's 154-position model. The record is from RNAcentral.